This 433-nucleotide ribosomal RNA is filed under the name uncultured bacterium. RNAcentral describes it as "partial 16S ribosomal RNA". It matches the Rfam family "Bacterial small subunit ribosomal RNA", at positions 29 to 507 of the family's 1533-position model. The record is from RNAcentral.
AACGAACGCUGGCGGCAUGCCUAACACAUGCAAGUCGAACGAGACCUUCGGGUCUAGUGGCGCACGGGUGCGUAACGCGUGGGAACCUGCCCUUAGGUUCGGAAUAACUCCCCGAAAGGGGUGCUAAUACCGGAUAAUGUCUUCGGACCAAAGAUUUAUCGCCUUUGGAUGGGCCCGCGUUGGAUUAGCUAGUUGGUAGGGUAAAAGCCUACCAAGGCGACGAUCCAUAGCUGGUCUGAGAGGAUGAUCAGCCACACUGGGACUGAGAAACGGCCCAGACUCCUACGGGAGGCAGCAGUGGGGAAUAUUGGACAACGGGCGAAAGCCUGAUCCAGCAAUGCCGCGUGAGUGAUGAAGGCCUUAGGGUUGUAAAGCUCUUUUACCCGGGAUGAUAAUGACAGUACCGGGAGAAUAAGCUCCGGCUAACUCCGUG